UCUCUAUAUUUAUGGGUAUGUAUAAAUCCGAAUUAGGGUUAUUAGGAUUAGGAAAUUUGGGGCUUUUGGUCAAGAUGAGUAAGAUUAUGUUAAUUGACAAUGUUAGUAGCUCACAAACAUCAUUAUUGUCAUAUUUUUAGAGUUGUAGGGUUAUUGGACAUCAUUUGGUAGCUCGUUGGCGCGCUCAGAGUUGCUUCCGGUUCUUUGAAAUCAAGUUAUACAGGAGUCAUUCCAGGUUCCAUUCCACCUGCCCCUCAGUAGAUCUUAGUCAUUUUGGUGAGCCCUUCUUCUUUCCAAGGGCUAAGUAAUUAUGUAAUGGAACCUUUGCU
This is a non-coding RNA of Arachis ipaensis, 329 nucleotides long. Lineage: Eukaryota; Viridiplantae; Streptophyta; Magnoliopsida; Fabales; Fabaceae. The record is from RefSeq and is a predicted model, not a curated record.